Dermacentor andersoni is the source of this 5132-nucleotide non-coding RNA. The record is from RefSeq and is a predicted model, not a curated record. NCBI's taxonomy places the organism in Eukaryota, Metazoa, Arthropoda, Arachnida, Ixodida, Ixodidae.
UGAAGCUGCCGGUUCACUCUUCAAAGCGUCGUUUUACUCUCGCAGAAUGUCGAGGAGAGUGAAAUGCAUUGUUCACUCUGUCACCAAGGAGAGAGUGAAAUGUGCUUUUCACUCUCCCCUUCAGAGAGAGAGAGUGAAAAGACUCUUGCGACAAUAGAAAAGAGAGACUCUUGCGGCAAUAGAAAACAAAACGUAGCGUAAUCUUCUGCUUCAACUGUAGGUGGCUGGCCCCGAACAUGGCAAUGUAUCAUUCAUGCACGCUGAGCAAAGAACACAUCGUUUUGCUUCUAAGAGAACAGGCCGCCGCAGUUCAAAGGAACGCGUAGCGAGCGCUCUACUUUUUCACUCGGAGUGGCUCCACCGCGCGCGCGCGCGCUCAAGAUCGCGGAACAACACAGCGCCGGAGAAAGUAGAUCCAUCCAGCGAGCAAAGGCCAGCCGAGGGAGAUCGUGUGGCAGCCAUCUCGCGUCGCCACGAAAACACGACAGUCGUUCGUCAUGCCUUGGAUAUAACAACAAAUCCUCCACGGUAAGUGAAUUCUAACUUAGGUGCACAUUCUCCGUAUAUGUCAUGCUAUCGCCAGGAAGUUGUCGCUGCGCUUAGCCGACGCGAUUGACAAAGGACUAGGCGUACGCGCUGUCUCUUGAUGUCAAUCGAAAAAGCCAGUCGUCGCGAUAACUGCAUGUGAUUUUAUCACUUUGCCGUUGUCCGUAAGAGCUUUAAAAAUCGCAAACGCUGCCAGAACUAUGGUAUGUUCAAUAAGACGCCAGGCGAGAGGACGCUUAAAAUGGUUAGUUCACCAGCCCGUGAUUCCGAGCCUAUGCGGAGCGUGAUUAGCGUGCGUUUUGUGUGUUUGAAUUUAUUCAGUUUGGCAGUCUACUAUGUACGGAACGCUGUUGAACUAAGGAAUCACAUAACAGAAGCCGUCAUUUUGCUGGCAGCAUGCUUUUUUUUUAUAAAUAAACCGCGCGCUUGACGGUGUCUCGCGCAGGGGGAAUCUGCGACCACUGAAGUUACGUGCAGCACCAGUGCUAGUUAGAAACUUUGCCGCAGGCAUUCAGCUGCAUGCUGCAAGAGGUCAGUUGGGCGCGUUAUCUUGAACUUACUGAAAACGCAUGAGGAAUCCAUGUUUUAUGCUGAAAAAAGUAUAAACCCCAUAUAAGCGAUCUUGCGCGCGGCAGCUACAAGCGACGCGACGGAGAUGGCUGUCGCGUUCGCUCGUCGCCUACAAGUCGUACUCCGUGCGAGCGACGAUUUUGAGCGACGCCUCCCCGGUGUUGCCGGCAUGAGGGCUGCAGUCACGCGUGACGCGUGCUUUAGUAAUUUACGUUGAUGUAUUUCACUAUAAAAAGUAGCAUAAAAUAUUUCCGGAGGUCUUGCAGUACGUUCUUAUCCUUGCACGUAUAAAAAUUGGAUCAUUUGCUCGUUCCGCGCGACAAUCGGUAGUACUUGAGCGAUGUAUGUACAUCCAGUUCCGGCUUCGCGCUAUUGGCUAGUCGCUCAUAGCACUUCUGGGCGACGAGCGACGAUUUCUAGAUUUCCAGAACCGAGCCAUCUGUUCAAGCGACGGCCCGUUUUGUCGCUCGUCGCCGUCGCGCACUAAAUCGCUCUCACAGUGUUUAUCCCUAAGACUGAACUGUUUUUGCUCAUGUUGAAAUGGUGUGAUUAUAGGUCUGGUUUUGUCUCCUGUUGCGGUUUUCGUGCACGGUGCGAAACUGAAAGGAUGCUUAUGUCUACGAACUCGGUGAAUUGUCGAGCAGCUAGUUACGCAUCGGCAUCGAAUAUAACGGCUGCUGUGUGGAAUUACAAUUGCAGGGGCGCUUUGCAUACGCUUAUUGUUUUGGACAUGCCUGUGCAUUUGCUAAUAUCAGUUGGCGUGUCAGAGUUAUGUCAUAUGAACAGCUAAAUCAGCCUUCCUCUGGGUGUUACAAGCGUAAUGUGUGCAUUUUGCUAUAGCAUGGCAGAUUAUGAUGUGUUUAUCGCUUGAAUAUUUUUAGUAGAGAAAUAAAAUAUCAAAAUAAAAUGUUGCUUUAAUUCCGUGUUACCAUUCUGUCGUACACAGAACAAUAGGUUGGUGUAAUAAACUAAUAACUGCGGUUUAACUGCAACUUUUACAUGCCUACAAGAAUCUAAAAUGCUAGAUUUCAAACUGCAGCACUAGUCGGGUCUGUCAAAAAUGAACUCCACUGCGCACCUCAUGCAUGAAAAUAAGUUCAUGCCUUUUAGUAAGCUUAGAUGCAGGCCGCAGUGAACUUGUUAGUAUUGAAAUGUGGGUAAGCUUGCCAUAACAAGCCUUGUUGCCCUUUUUUAUGGGCACAUCCAUAUAUCCAUUGAGCUGAAGGACAAUAUUUUCAUCCCUACUGAGCAUCAUGUUUGCAGCUAUAAUCCUCAAAUUAUGGCUUCAGCAGUGGCACAACCAGGCAUGGUGCGGGGGGGUGGGGGGGCACACUGGGCACGUGCUUAGGAUGUGUCACAAGUGGUGUUUGCGAUACACCAGACUCAUGACAGACCUAUGACGUCUGAAAAUGACCAAUAUUCUAUUCAUUAGCAGGAGUAUUCUAACAUUCAUGAAAAACAAGGAUGAACUGUGGCUUGUUUUUUUGCUUAAAUCUAAAAAUUGAAGUUAGUUUAGCAGUUGACUGUUUCAGUCAUUUGGAUGUUUUGCAUGCAUUUCACUAGGAAGACUAAGAGCUAAGACUUUUUUAUUGCCAUUGCCUUGACUGUCUUGAUGUUGUUUUGCACCAUGUCCUUGUGUUGACUUUUGCAUACGAUAUUUUUCAGGCACCCGCUUUAUAUAACGCAAGAAGGCAGCUGCAAGGACACGAGGAUGUGAAAGAGCCAGUGCAGCGCGACUUCACGUAGUGCAGAGGAGCCAAUGCCAAAAAAUCAAAAUACAUUGGCAUGUUAUUUGGACAAGAAAACUAGGACAACCCAGGACGUGCAUUUCUCAGCACCCAGUCAACUGCCAAAAGUGACUCAAACACAGGCCACCAGAGACAAUGCCUACGAAAUUAUUGGCCCUGAUCAUGAGAGCCCUCAAGGGGCAAACAACAUCUCUGUUGCAGAAGUGAGCCCGGUACCACUUGGAAGUUACCAUGACAGAUGACACGGCAGCAAUAGAUACAGAGACUGCCACGUCUACUGCAGCUGCAACAGUGUACGAGGCAAGCAGCAGCGCGUCAGCAGCAGUGUCAGAAGGAACCACACCAGGCCUGGUAGAGCAACAUGUGUGCUAUCACUGACUUUUUUUGUAGUGGAUACAACUCAUUUGCUCAACAUACAAAAGCUUUUCACCACGACUGUGAGCCAGUGUUAUUGUGCAGCAAGUGCAAGACUAAGUUAAGUAUUAUAACACAGUACAAGCAUCACUUUAACAUAUGAAAACAUAUUACAGUUGUUGCCUCCCCAGCCAGCCCACAUAGCCACAACAAUGUUGAACACAUGGUGGGACACACAUCUUCUCCAUUAGAAGAUAGUAGAGACUGUCAGUGUUGUUGUUAGAUUAACUGGUCUUUGUAGGCAACUAGGACAACACAGGUGUCAUAAGAUUGUUGUUGAUGUUGUUGUUGAAGAGGUAAAAAAGUUUGAUGCAGCUGAAGUGCCAACUGAUAUUGAGCAAAUCAAAAGCAACCACCUGAGAAAGCAACACUAUCGAAAUUUGGGUAUCUAUGUGCCGCCAACUCUGGUAAGAAUGGCAUAGGACAGAAGUGUGAUGAAAAUCACACAGACACUGCUGUUGCAUCACUGGCCACAGUGAGCAGCGACUUGUAGGGCAAGAGAGUCGACUGAAACUAACAUUAUGAUAUAGUGUCAUGCUCCCAUGUGACCACAUUUCAAGUUAUUUUGCAAGAUACAGCUCAACCUCCAGAAACGAGACUGCAAGUUGUCUGUAAAAAAGCUUUCACAAAAAAUUAUUCAUAACACUAUUAACAUAGCAGUAUCUUUUUUUUUGUGUCGGUUCGAGGUUCCCGGCUGUCCAUUAAUGCAAAAAUUGAGGAAAAAAAGAACAUGUGUCGUACUUACACCUUUUUAACAAGUACGAGGGGGACAGAACUUUUCUAGUCAUGCAUCUUCAUCAUACUAUCAAGUUUUUAAAUGCCUUUUAUAAUUAUUAUUACCAGUUAUAUCUGAGUGCAUUGUAUGCAUAUAGCAGGUGUAAAAUCAGGUCAGUUGGAUCAGAUGCCUUAUCUGCAAGCGAACCCUAUAUUCAAGAAAUUUGAAAUAAAAUAGUUACGUUAGAGACGCAGUCUUUCAGCACUUUAUUGCCUGUGGUUUAAGCAUUGCUCAAUACUUUUGUGGGUGGCAAUUUCAACCGGCACAGCACUGCGCUUUGCCACAGUCACAUUUGUCUUCAAAGCGGUGUUUACCAUUUGUGUUGAUCUGUUUGUGUAUGCAUAGAGCAAGUUUUUAAUUUAUAUUUUUCUGCAUUCUUGUGCUUGCACUAAGCUUGUAUAAGGCAGUUACAAAAUGUGCGGCACUAUAACGAACUGUUCUGUUGAGCUUACACUUGCAAAUAAUCGUGUUCAGAUGGCCGCACUUCUAUGCGGGUGCACCGCUAGCUUUGUGUAUGUUCUCAUGUUUGUAUAAAGCUUAUAUAAGCUAGUUAGAACAUGUAUGUCACUAAGCAUUGUGAUAUUCUUUAAAGAACUGCUUGGUUGGUUUUACACUUGUGAAUUAGUAUUGAGGUGGUGGUAUUCCCAUGUAUGCCCACUGCUAGCUUUCUGUGUCCUCACGUGUUUGUAUUAAGUUUCUACAAGGGAGUUACAGCAUGUACGUCACUAAGCGCUGUGAUAUUUUUUAAAGAACUGGUUUGUUGGUUUUACACCUGUGAGUAAUAGUACUCGUGUGGCACUAGUCAUGUGUAGGUACACAGGGACCAUUUGUAUACAUUAUGCUCAUGUAAAGCAGUUACAAAGUGUAUGUCACUAAUUACUGUGAUAUUUGUUGAAUUGCUGUGAUGGUUGUACACAUGUGAAUAAUAGUGGUCAGGACACAGUACUUGCGGUGUAUAGUUGAAUUUAUACACAGCCAAGACAUGGGCUGUAUACGUACCAAAAGAAAUGUAUGUCAUUAUAUUGUUGUGAUUAUUACUGUUUGGAUUUUAAUAAACUGUAAUAAAAUUGUUUCUUGUA